RNAcentral lists this ribosomal RNA (465 nucleotides) under uncultured bacterium. Its description in RNAcentral is "partial 16S ribosomal RNA". It matches the Rfam family "Bacterial small subunit ribosomal RNA", at positions 28 to 507 of the family's 1533-position model. The record is from RNAcentral.
GACGAACGCUGGCGGCGUGCUUAACACAUGCAAGUCGAACGGAAAGGCCCCUUUGGGGGUCCUCGAGUGGCGAACGGGUGAGUAACACGUGAGUAACCUGCCCUUGACUUCGGGAUAACUUCAGGAAACUGGGGCUAAUACCGGAUAGGAAUCCUUGCUGCAUGGUGGGGGUUGGAAAGCUUCGGCGGUUUUGGAUGGACUCGCGGCUUAUCAGCUUGUUGGUGGGGUAGUGGCUUACCAAGGCUUUGACGGGUAGCCGGCCUGAGAGGGCGACCGGCCACAUUGGGACUGAGAUACGGCCCAGACUCCCACGGGAGGCAGCAGUGGGGAAUAUUGCACAAUGGGCGGAAGCCUGAUGCAGCAACGCCGCGUGCGGGAGGACGGCCUUCGGGUUGUAAACCGCUUUCAGCAGGGGCGAAGCUUGUGGUGACGGUACCUGCAGAAGAAGCACCGGCUAACUACGUG